UGCAAGUCGAGCGGAUGAGAAGAGCUUGCUCUUCGAUUCAGCGGCGGACGGGUGAGUAAUGCCUAGGAAUCUGCCUGGUAGUGGGGGACAACGUUUCGAAAGGAACGCUAAUACCGCAUACGUCCUACGGGAGAAAGCAGGGGACCUUCGGGCCUUGCGCUAUCAGAUGAGCCUAGGUCGGAUUAGCUAGUUGGUGAGGUAAUGGCUCACCAAGGCGACGAUCCGUAACUGGUCUGAGAGGAUGAUCAGUCACACUGGAACUGAGACACGGUCCAGACUCCUACGGGAGGCAGCAGUGGGGAAUAUUGGACAAUGGGCGAAAGCCUGAUCCAGCCAUGCCGCGUGUGUGAAGAAGGUCUUCGGAUUGUAAAGCACUUUAAGUUGGGAGGAAGGGCAUUAACCUAAUACGUUAGUGUUUUGACGUUACCGACAGAAUAAGCACCGGCUAACUCUGUGCCAGCAGCCGCGGUAAUACAGAGGGUGCAAGCGUUAAUCGGAAUUACUGGGCGUAAAGCGCGCGUAGGUGGUUUGUUAAGUUGGAUGUGAAAGCCCCGGGCUCAACCUGGGAACUGCAUCCAAAACUGGCAAGCUAGAGUACGGUAGAGGGUGGUGGAAUUUCCUGUGUAGCGGUGAAAUGCGUAGAUAUAGGAAGGAACACCAGUGGCGAAGGCGACCACCUGGACUGAUACUGACACUGAGGUGCGAAAGCGUGGGGAGCAAACAGGAUUAGAUACCCUGGUAGUCCACGCCGUAAACGAUGUCAACUAGCCGUUGGAAUCCUUGAGAUUUUAGUGGCGCAGCUAACGCAUUAAGUGAACGCUUGGGGACGC
Molecule: ribosomal RNA, 830 nt
Filed under: Pseudomonas putida
Lineage: Bacteria; Pseudomonadati; Pseudomonadota; Gammaproteobacteria; Pseudomonadales; Pseudomonadaceae
Description: bacterial SSU rRNA
Rfam family: Bacterial small subunit ribosomal RNA
Source: RNAcentral